AUUCAAAUAGCUUAUAAUAGAGCGUGAUAUUGAAGAUAUCAAGGAAAUUUAAUAUUUUUGGGUA
This 64-nucleotide transfer RNA is filed under the name Paulhutchinsonia pilosicollis. Its description in RNAcentral is "tRNA-Phe". The record is from RNAcentral. Lineage: Eukaryota; Metazoa; Arthropoda; Insecta; Coleoptera; Cerambycidae.